Molecule: ribosomal RNA, 207 nt
Filed under: uncultured bacterium
Lineage: Bacteria
Description: partial 16S ribosomal RNA
Rfam family: Bacterial small subunit ribosomal RNA
Source: RNAcentral
UGCGUAGGUAGUUUCUUAAGUCAGAGGUGAAAGGCUACGGCUCAACCGUAGUAAGCCUUUGAAACUGGGAAACUUGAGUGCAGGAGAGGAGAGUGGAAUUCCUAGUGUAGCGGUGAAAUGCGUAGAUAUUAGGAGGAACACCAGUUGCGAAGGCGGCUCUCUGGACUGUAACUGACACUGAGGCACGAAAGCGUGGGGAGCAAACAG